RNAcentral lists this ribosomal RNA (253 nucleotides) under uncultured bacterium. Its description in RNAcentral is "partial 16S ribosomal RNA". It matches the Rfam family "Bacterial small subunit ribosomal RNA", at positions 524 to 776 of the family's 1533-position model. The record is from RNAcentral.
UACGUAGGGUGCGAGCGUUGUCCGGAAUUACUGGGCGUAAAGAGCUCGUAGGUGGUUUGUCGCGUUGUUCGUGAAAACCUGAGGCUUAACCUUGGGCGUGCGGGCGAUACGGGCAGACUGGAGUACUGCAGGGGAGACUGGAAUUCCUGGUGUAGCGGUGAAAUGCGUAGAUAUCAGGAGGAACACCGGUGGCGAAGGCGGCUAUCUGGACAGAAACUGACGCUGAGGCGCGAAAGCUAGGGGAGCAAACAGG